AUUGAACGCUGGCGGCAUGCCUUACACAUGCAAGUCGAACGGUAACGGGCCUUCGGGUGCCGACGAGUGGCGAACGGGUGAGUAAUACAUCGGAACGUGCCCGAUCGUGGGGGAUAACGAGGCGAAAGCUUUGCUAAUACCGCAUACGAUCUACGGAUGAAAGCAGGGGACCGCAAGGCCUUGCGCGGACGGAGCGGCCGAUGGCAGAUUAGGUAGUUGGUGGGAUAAAAGCUUGCCAAGCCGACGAUCUGUAGCUGGUCUGAGAGGAUGAUCAGCCACACUGGGACUGAGACACGGCCCAGACUCCUACGGGAGGCAGCAGUGGGGAAUUUUGGACAAUGGGCACAAGCCUGAUCCAGCCAUGCCGCGUGCAGGAUGAAGGCCUUCGGGUUGUAAACUGCUUUUGUACGGAACGAAAAGCCUUCUUAUAAUACAGGAGGGUCAUGACGGUACCGUAAGAAUAAGCACCGGCUAACUACGUG
Molecule: ribosomal RNA, 482 nt
Filed under: uncultured bacterium
Lineage: Bacteria
Description: partial 16S ribosomal RNA
Rfam family: Bacterial small subunit ribosomal RNA
Source: RNAcentral